RNAcentral lists this ribosomal RNA (562 nucleotides) under Cladophialophora samoensis. Its description in RNAcentral is "SSU rRNA". It matches the Rfam family "Bacterial small subunit ribosomal RNA", at positions 465 to 1099 of the family's 1533-position model. Lineage: Eukaryota; Fungi; Ascomycota; Eurotiomycetes; Chaetothyriales; Herpotrichiellaceae. The record is from RNAcentral.
GAGAAUGACGAUUUUUUUAUCUAUAAGUCUUGACCAAAUUACGUGCCAGCAGUCGCGGUAAUACGUAGAAGACAAGUGUUAUUCAUCUUUAUUCGGUAUAAAGGGUACCUAGACAGAUUACCAAGCCUUAAUAGGGACUAGUUUUCUAGAGUUUUAUGUGGGAAUAUACGAAUUACCAGAGAAGGGACAAAAUCCUAUUAUACUGGUAGGACGGGUAACGGCGAAGGCUUUAUUCUAAGUAAAAACUGACGUUGAGGGACGAAGCCUAGGGUAGCGAUAAGGAUUCGAUACCCUAGUAGUCCUAGGAGAAAAUUAUGAGUGCCAUAGGCUAGGUAAAUUUAGCCUAUAAAUGAAAGUGUAAGCACUCCACCUCAUGACUAAGGCGGAAAUGCACAAAUUGAAAUCAUUAGACCGUUUCUGAAACCAGUAGUGAAGUAUGUUAUUUAAUUCGAUAAUCCGCGAAUAACCUUACCACGUCUUGAAUAGUAUGUCACAAUACAAGUGCUGCACGGCUGUCUUCAGUUAAUGUCGUGAGACUUUGGUUAAUUCCUUUAAUUAACGA